This is a long non-coding RNA of Coregonus clupeaformis (lake whitefish), 1788 nucleotides long. RefSeq lists it as uncharacterized. The transcript has 3 exons. The record is from RefSeq and is a predicted model, not a curated record. Lineage: Eukaryota; Metazoa; Chordata; Actinopteri; Salmoniformes; Salmonidae.
UUUUUGUUCAGUAUAUGUCAGUGCUGUGUGUGUGUGAGAGAGACGUAACAGUGUUUGUGUUCUAUGUUAGUACUGUGAAUUUGUGAUGUAACGCUUCAUCUCAUUGCAGUGCGGUACUGUAUUUCAGGUUAACUGUGUUGCGGUACUGUAUUUUAGGUUAUAACUGUGUUGUGGUACUGUAUUUUAGGUUAUAACUGUGUUGUGGUACUGUAUUUUAGGUUAUAACUGUGUUGUGGUACUGUAUUUUAGGUUAUAACUGUGUUGUGGUACUGUAUUUUAGGUUAUAACUGUUGCGGUACUCUAUUUUAGGUUAUAACCGUUGCGGUACUGUAUUUUAGGUUAUAACUGUGUUGCGGUACUGUAUUUUAGGUUAUAACUGUGUUGCGGUACUGUAUUUUAGGUUAUAACUGUGUUGCGGUACUGUAUUUUAGGUUAUAACUGUGUUGUGGUACUGUAUUUUAGGUUAUAACUGUGUUGCGGUACUGUAUUUUAGGUUAACUGUUGCGGUACUGUAUUUUAGGUUAUAACUGUGUUGCGGUACUGUAUUUUAGGUUAACUGUUGCGGUACUGUAUUUUAGGUUAUAACUGUGUUGCGGUACUGUAUUUUAGGUUAUAACUGUGUUGCGGUACUGUAUUUUAGGUUAACUGUGUUGCGGUACUGUAUUUUAGGUUAUAACUGUGUUGUGGUACUGUAUUUUAGGUUAUAACUGUUGCGGUACUGUAUUUUAGGUUAACUGUUGCGGUACUGUAUUUUAGGUUAUAACUGUGUUGCGGUACUGUAUUUUAGGUUAUAACUGUGUUGCGGUACUGUAUUUUAGGUUAUAACUGUGUUGCGGUACUGUAUUUUAGGUUAUAACUGUUGCGGUACUGUAUUUUAGGUUAACUGUGUUGCGGUACUGUAUUUUAGGUUAACUGUGUUGCGGUACUGUAUUUUAGGUUAACUGUGUUGCGGUACUGUAUUUUAGGUUAUAACUGUGUUGCGGUACUGUAUUUCAGGUUAACUGUGUUGCGGUACUGUAUUUCAGGUUAUAACUGUGUUGCGGUACUGUAUUUCAGGUUAUAACUGUGUUGCGGUACUGUAUUUCAGGUUAACUGUGUUGCGGUACUGUGUUGCGGUACUGUAUUUUAGGUUAUAACUGUGUUGCGGUACUGUAUUUUAGGUUAACUGUGUUGCGGUACUGUGUUGCGGUACUGUAUUUUAGGUUAUAACUGUUGCAGUACUGUAUUUCAGGUUAACUGUGUUGCGGUACUGUAUUUCAGGUUAUAACUGUGUUGCGGUACUGUAUUUCAGGUUAUAACUGUGUUGCGGAACUGUAUUUUAGGUUAACUGUGUUGCGGUACUGUAUUUCAGGUUAUAACUGUGUUGCGGUACUGUAUUUCAGGUUAUAACUGUGUUGCGGUACUGUAUUUCAGGUUAUAACUGUGUUGCGGUACUGUAUUUUAGGUUAUAACUGUGUUGCGGUACUGUAUUUUAGGUUAUAACUGUGUUGCGGUACUGUAUUUUAGGUUAACUGUGUUGCGGUACUGUGUUGCGGUACUGUAUUUUAGGUUAUAACUGUGUUGCGGUACUGUAUUUUAGGUUAACUGUGUUGCGGUACUGUGUUGCGGUACUGUAUUUUAGGUUAACUGUGUUGCGGUACUGUAUUUCAGGUUAUAACUGUGUUGCGGUACUGUAUUUUAGGUUAACUGUGUUGCGGUACUGUAUUUCAGGUUAACUGUGUUGCGGUACUGUAUUUCAGGUUAUAACUGUGUUGCGGUACUGUAUUUUAGGUUAUAACUGUGUUGCGG